GAGUUUGAUCCUGGCUCAGGAUGAACGCUAGCGGCAGGCUUAACACAUGCAAGUCGAGGGGUAACGGGGAAGCUUGCUUCCGCCGACGACCGGCGCACGGGUGCGUAACGCGUAUACAAUCUACCUUGUACUGGGGUAUAGCCUUUAGAAAUGAAGAUUAAUCCCCCAUAGUCUCUUAGAGUGGCAUCACUUCUAGAGUAAAGGUUACGGUAUAAGAUGAGUAUGCGUUCUAUUAGUUUGUUGGUGUGGUAACGGCACACCAAGACUACGAUAGAUAGGGGCCCUGAGAGGGGGAUCCCCCACACUGGUACUGAGACACGGACCAGACUCCUACGGGAGGCAGCAGUGAGGAAUAUUGGACAAUGGAGGCAACUCUGAUCCAGCCAUGCCGCGUGCAGGAAGACUGCCCUAUGGGUUGUAAACUGCUUUUAUACAGGAAGAAACACCUCUACGUGUAGAGGCUUGACGGUACUGUAAGAAUAAGGAUCGGCUAACUCCGUGCCAGCAGCCGCGGUAAUACGGAGGAUCCAAGCGUUAUCCGGAAUCAUUGGGUUUAAAGGGUCCGUAGGUGGAUAAUUAAGUCAGAGGUGAAAUCCUGCAGCUCAACUGUAAAAUUGCCUUUGAAACUGGUUAUCUUGAGUUAUUAUGAAGUAGUUAGAAUAUGUAGUGUAGCGGUGAAAUGCAUAGAUAUUACAUAGAAUACCAAUUGCGAAGGCAGAUUACUAAUAAUCAACUGACACUGAUGGACGAAAGCGUGGGUAGCGAACAGGAUUAGAUACCCUGGUAGUCCACGCCGUAAACGAUGGUUACUAGCUGUUUGGACUUCGGUCUGAGUGGCUAAGCGAAAGUGAUAAGUAACCCACCUGGGGAGUACGUUCGCAAGAAUGAAACUCAAAGGAAUUGACGGGGGCCCGCACAAGCGGUGGAGCAUGUGGUUUAAUUCGAUGAUACGCGAGGAACCUUACCAGGGCUUAAAUGUAAGUUGCAUUAGUUAGAGAUAGCUAUUUCUUCGGACCACUUACGAGGUGCUGCAUGGUUGUCGUCAGCUCGUGCCGUGAGGUGUCAGGUUAAGUCCUAUAACGAGCGCAACCCCUGUUGUUAGUUGCCAGCGAGCCAUGUCGGGAACUCUAACAAGACUGCCAGUGCAAACUGUGAGGAAGGUGGGGAUGACGUCAAAUCAUCACGGCCCUUACGUCCUGGGCUACACACGUGCUACAAUGGUAGGUACAGAGAGCAGCCACUGCGCGAGCAGGAGCGAAUCUAUAAAACCUAUCACAGUUCGGAUCGGAGUCUGCAACUCGACUCCGUGAAGCUGGAAUCGCUAGUAAUCGGAUAUCAGCCAUGAUCCGGUGAAUACGUUCCCGGGCCUUGUACUCACCGCCCGUC
RNAcentral lists this ribosomal RNA (1386 nucleotides) under uncultured marine bacterium. RNAcentral describes it as "bacterial SSU rRNA". It matches the Rfam family "Bacterial small subunit ribosomal RNA". The record is from RNAcentral.